AAUGCAAGUCGAACGAUGAAGUUCCUUCGGGAAUGGAUUAGUGGCGAACGGGUGAGGAACACGUGAGAAACCUGCCUUUCAUUCUGGGAUAACACCGGGAAACCGGUGCUAAUACCGGAUACUCCAUCUUGGCGGCAUCGCCGAGCUGGGAAAAAAUUUUGAUGGAAGAUGGUCUCGCGGCCUAUCAGCUAGUUGGUGAGGUAAAGGCUCACCAAGGCGACGACGGGUAGCCGGCCUGAGAGGGCGACCGGCCACACUGGGACUGAGACACGGCCCAGACUCCUACGGGAGGCAGCAGUAGGGAAUAUUGGGCAAUGGGCGAAAGCCUGACCCAGCGACGCCGCGUGAGGGAUGAAGGUCUUCGGAUUGUAAACCUCUUUCAGUAGGGAAGAAGCGAAAGUGACGGUACCUAAAGAAGAAGCACCGGCUAACUAUGUGCCAGCAGCCGCGGUAAUACAUAGGGUGCAAGCGUUGUCCGGAAUUAUUGGGCGUAAAGAGCUCGUAGGUCGUUUGUCGCGUCGAUUGUGAAAAUCUGAGGCUCAACCUCAGACCUGCAGUCGAUACGGGCAAACUAGAGUGUGGUAGGGGAGACUGGAAUUCCUGGUGUAGCGGUGGAAUGCGCAGAUAUCAG
Molecule: ribosomal RNA, 631 nt
Filed under: uncultured Actinomycetales bacterium
Lineage: Bacteria; Bacillati; Actinomycetota; Actinomycetes; Actinomycetales
Description: bacterial SSU rRNA
Rfam family: Bacterial small subunit ribosomal RNA
Source: RNAcentral